This 57-nucleotide transfer RNA is filed under the name Syngamus trachea. RNAcentral's name for it is "tRNA-Ala". The record is from RNAcentral. Lineage: Eukaryota; Metazoa; Nematoda; Chromadorea; Rhabditida; Syngamidae.
GGGACUUUAAUUUAAAUUUAAAAUAUACAGCUUGCAUUUGUAAAAUUUAAGUUCUAU